UUAAGCCUAUGAUGGAUUAGUUAUCCCUGUCUGAAAAUUUGAGCUGAGGGAAAUAACACUACUCUGAGGCUUAG
Molecule: small nucleolar RNA, 74 nt
Organism: Rattus rattus (black rat)
Lineage: Eukaryota; Metazoa; Chordata; Mammalia; Rodentia; Muridae
Product: small nucleolar RNA R38
Exons: 1
Source: RefSeq, a predicted model, not a curated record